UACGGAGGGAGCUAGCGUUGUUCGGAAUUACUGGGCGUAAAGCGCGCGUAGGCGGCUUUGUAAGUUAGAGGUGAAAGCCCGGGGCUCAACCCCGGAAUUGCCUUUAAGACUGCAUCGCUUGAAUCCGGGAGAGGUGAGUGGAAUUCCCAGUGUAGCGGUGAAAUGCGUAGAUAUUGGGGAGGAACACCAGUGGGCGAAGGCGGCUCACUGGACCGGAACUGACGCUGAGGCGCGAAAGCGUGGGGAGCAAACGGG
This 255-nucleotide ribosomal RNA is filed under the name uncultured bacterium. Its description in RNAcentral is "partial 16S ribosomal RNA". It matches the Rfam family "Bacterial small subunit ribosomal RNA", at positions 524 to 776 of the family's 1533-position model. The record is from RNAcentral.